Molecule: unclassified non-coding RNA, 1073 nt
Filed under: Hevea brasiliensis (rubber tree)
Lineage: Eukaryota; Viridiplantae; Streptophyta; Magnoliopsida; Malpighiales; Euphorbiaceae
Source: RNAcentral
UUUCCUUUUCUUUUUCUUUUUUUUCCCUUCCUUGUUUUUGUUUUCUGAGGUGGGGGAUUAUUGUGUUGCUCCCAAAUAUUAAAUUAUUAAUAAUUACUAACUAGCGGAGAAUGUGGUAUUUAUUAAAACUACUUACUACUUCUUUGCUGUAUGGGACGUCUUAGAAGAUAUAAUAUUGCACGAGUGGCCCUAUCUCUCAAGUUUAUCAAUUUUCCAGAUGGGAAAUGAAGCCAAGCUUAUCAAUUGAUCAUCAUCAUAAGUCUUGUAUAGUUUGUUGAUCAUCUUCAUAUGAUCAUCAUCAUCAAAGUAAAGACAACCGAAGACAGCAAAUUCUUCUUGCAAAGGCAUACAGACAUUUUAUGUGCAUUUUUAAGUUUGUAUGUAUCAUAGAGAUCCACUUAAUUGGCUACUACCUCUCUGCUUGUAAUUCUGUUACGAAUUUUACAGCCAACUUUUGCUUAAGUUCAAUCUUCAUUUUGUUCAAUUUAUUUUGGGAAUAGAUUUUCCUACAUAGUCCCCUGUCAAAUUCGGAUGACUUUAAUACCACAGAGUUGGAUUGAUGAAAUUCUCCUCCUGAACAAGUUCUAUCAUCAUCCAUGUUGAAAGUGCACUAGAAUGAUAGACCAAUUGUGAUGCAAAUAAUGUUACUUUUUUAUUGGAUGAUUGCCUAGAAUUUAUUGAAUAAUUAGGGGGGUGGAAAUUUUCCACAUUUUCCCUUCAUGUGUCAAAGAUUCUUCGUUCCCCUCUCAUUUAGUACACACUGCUAGUUACAUGUAUAAUUUUCUGUGCAAGAUGCAGGCAUUAUUUGUAGGUUCAUUUCCAGCUGGAAUAUUGCAAGUUCAAUUUGGCUUUAAAGCACUUCUGAAGGCUCCAUUACGUCCUUGCAUAAAGUGUGAGAAGAAGGAUGAAUACUUCGAACAUGUAUCUGUUGAACGUCCUCCUUACCAUGGUUACAUCUGGGCAACUUGAACGAGCAUUUAGUGCUUGUGCUAGUAUUCCAGGAAAGGGGUACUGGCCAGAAGGCACCGCUGAUCGAGUUAGGGCUGCCAGGGCUCCUGAACCAACAGGCACGU